CAGCCGCCGCGGUAAUACGGAGGGUGCAAGCGUUAAUCGGAAUUACUGGGCGUAAAGCGUGCGUAGGCGGUUCGUUAAGUCUGUUGUGAAAGCCCCGGGCUCAACCUGGGAAUGGCAAUGGAUACUGGCGAGCUAGAGUGUGUCAGAGGAUGGUGGAAUUCCCGGUGUAGCGGUGAAAUGCGUAGAGAUCGGGAGGAACAUCAGUGGCGAAGGCGGCCAUCUGGGACAACACUGACGCUGAGGCACGAAAGCGUGGGGAGCGAACGGGAUUAGAUACCCGCGUAGUCCCUGUCUCUUAUAC
Molecule: ribosomal RNA, 301 nt
Filed under: uncultured bacterium
Lineage: Bacteria
Description: partial 16S ribosomal RNA
Rfam family: Bacterial small subunit ribosomal RNA
Source: RNAcentral